This 81-nucleotide ribosomal RNA is filed under the name Lactiplantibacillus pentosus. RNAcentral's name for it is "partial 16S ribosomal RNA". The stretch from base 1 to 71 matches the Rfam family "Bacterial small subunit ribosomal RNA", at positions 1463 to 1533 of the family's 1533-position model. The record is from RNAcentral. RNAcentral also lists the same sequence under 1 other name. Lineage: Bacteria; Bacillati; Bacillota; Bacilli; Lactobacillales; Lactobacillaceae.
UGGGACAGAUGAUUAGGGUGAAGUCGUAACAAGGUAGCCGUAGGAGAACCUGCGGCUGGAUCACCUCCUUUCUAAGGAAUA